GGUUCAAUUAGGUUGGUUUAAAUAAUGAAACCACCUUGACCCAUUCUCCCUGCGCCACCUGACUUCCACUGCGUCCAUUUGAAUUCACGAGAAGGAAGUUCUCAUGAAUUUUUUCUCAUGCAAAGCCCUCCUCACGCCCUUCUUUAAUGCACCAAAUGAGUGGAUAAGGAUGAUUGGUUGGCCAUUCAAAUUCAAAACAAAGUUUGAAUUUGAAUGAGCAACCAAUCUUAGCGCCUUGACCUUAUCCUCUUUUAACGCCCC
Molecule: long non-coding RNA, 261 nt
Filed under: Elaeis guineensis (African oil palm)
Lineage: Eukaryota; Viridiplantae; Streptophyta; Magnoliopsida; Arecales; Arecaceae
Description: long non-coding RNA (EGUI_LNC051817)
Source: RNAcentral